GUAACGCGUGAGAAUCUAGCUUCAGGAUGGGGACAACAGAGGGAAACCGCUGCUAAUACCCGAUGUGCCUUAGGGUGAAAGAUUUAUCGCCUGAAGAUGAGCUCGCGUCCGAUUAGCUAGUUGGUAGAGUAAGAGCCUACCAAGGCGACGAUCGGUAGCUGGUCUGAGAGGAUGACCAGCCACACUGGGACUGAGACACGGCCCAGACUCCUACGGGAGGCAGCAGUGGGGAAUUUUCCGCAAUGGGCGAAAGCCUGACGGAGCAAGACCGCGUGAGGGAGGAAGGCUCUUGGGUUGUAAACCUCUUUUCUCUGGGAAGAAGCUCUGACGGUACCAGAGGAAUCAGCAUCGGCUACCUCCGUGCCAGCAGCCGCGGUAAUACGGAGGAUGCAAGCGUUAUCCGGAAUUAUUGGGCGUAAAGCGUCCGUAGGUGGCUCUUCAAGUCUGCCGUUAAAACCAGUGGCUUAACUACUGAUAGGCGGUGGAAACUGAAAGGCUAGAGUGUGGUAGGGGUAGAGGGAAUUCCCAGUGUAGCGGUGAAAUGCGUAGAGAUUGGGAAGAACUUCCGGUGUCGAACAACUCUUC
RNAcentral lists this ribosomal RNA (585 nucleotides) under Lyngbya sp. MBDU 709. Its description in RNAcentral is "bacterial SSU rRNA". It matches the Rfam family "Bacterial small subunit ribosomal RNA", at positions 110 to 729 of the family's 1533-position model. Lineage: Bacteria; Bacillati; Cyanobacteriota; Cyanophyceae; Oscillatoriales; Microcoleaceae. The record is from RNAcentral.